UGCCCGCGCACCCGGGAGGCGGCGGACGGCUCAGGACAACGGUUGCACCCCCCGCGGCGGUCCCUGCUAGCCGGACACCGCUGGCAACCCGGCGCCAAGACGUGCGCGCAAGGGCGGGCGCCCGCGGGCGAGCAGCGUGACGCAGCGACGGCCCGCCCGGGCUUCCGGGGCAUCACCCGGUCGGCGCGGUCGCGGCGCGCCGAGGGCCCGACGCGGGGCGGAGAAUCAGGGUUCGACUCCGGAGAGCGGGCCUGAGAGACGGCCCGCACAUCCAAGGACGGCAGCAGGCGCGGAACUUGCCCAAUGCGCGCGCGCGAGGCAGCGACGGGGAGUGCGCGAGCGAGGCGGGCCCACAGCCC
This 359-nucleotide ribosomal RNA is filed under the name Giardia duodenalis. RNAcentral's name for it is "SSU rRNA". It matches the Rfam family "Eukaryotic small subunit ribosomal RNA", at positions 58 to 470 of the family's 1831-position model. Lineage: Eukaryota; Fornicata; Diplomonadida; Hexamitidae. The record is from RNAcentral.